GCGUUCGUAGCUCAGUUGGAUAGAGCGUCAGACUCCGACUCUGAAGGUCGCUGGUUCGAUUCCAGUCGAGCGCGCCA
RNAcentral lists this transfer RNA (77 nucleotides) under Clostridia bacterium. Its description in RNAcentral is "tRNA-Arg". It matches the Rfam family "tRNA". From Rfam's summary of the family: Transfer RNA (tRNA) molecules are approximately 80 nucleotides in length. Their secondary structure includes four short double-helical elements and three loops (D, anti-codon, and T loops). The record is from RNAcentral. Lineage: Bacteria; Bacillati; Bacillota; Clostridia.